AUUGAACGCUGGCGGCAGGCUUAACACAUGCAAGUCGAGCGGGCCCUUCGGGGUCAGCGGCGGACGGGUGAGUAACGCGUGGGAACGUGCCUUCUGGUCUGGAAUCACUCUGGGAAACUAGGGCUAAUACCGGAUACGCCCUUUUGGGGUAAGGUUUACUGCCGGAAGAUCGGCCCGCGUCUGAUUAGCUAGUUGGUGGGGUAACGGCCUCCCAAGGCGACGAUCAGUAGCUGGUCUGAGAGGAUGAUCAGCCACACUGGGACUGAGACACGGCCCAGACUCCUACGGGAGGUAGCAGUGGGGAAUAUUGGACAAUGGGCGCAAGCCUGAUCCAGCCAUGCCGCGUGAGUGAUGAAGGCCUUAGGGUUGUAAAGCUCUUUUAUCCGGGACGAUAAUGACGGUACCGGAGGAAUAAGCCCCGGCUAACUUCGUG
This 433-nucleotide ribosomal RNA is filed under the name uncultured bacterium. Its description in RNAcentral is "partial 16S ribosomal RNA". It matches the Rfam family "Bacterial small subunit ribosomal RNA", at positions 30 to 507 of the family's 1533-position model. The record is from RNAcentral.